AAAGUAACUAUAUGACACAUACUGUAUGUUAAUGCACUUUUUAAAAUUGCAAUAUUAAAUAUAUGUAAUUAAUUGUGUGCAUAAAUGAUUCAACUGUGGAAGCGCUAACAUAACACAUUGCAAAUUACUCGUUUAAACAGUUCAGAUUUGUGAAGACGAGAUCACUCAUGUCAUUAUGAUACAUGAGACAAUGUUCUGCGAAAGAAAUGCACAUGCAUUGUUCCAAAAGAAGCCAUUUUACUGAUAAUUGUUUAUUGCUGGCAUACAAGAAAAUUUGAAGAGGAGGAUCAAGUAGUAGACUAUGUUUCUGUUAGCAUGAGAAGAACCUUCUGUGAUGAACUUUGAAUAUGUAUAAAUAUAUACUGUAAGAGAAAAUACAUGUCUAUAUAUAUUCACAACCUAAUACACUCAUGCCUUGAUACCAGUGCAAGUUUCAGUACUUAUUUCCAUCAAUA
This is a long non-coding RNA of Carassius auratus (goldfish), 455 nucleotides long. RefSeq lists it as uncharacterized. The transcript is spliced from 3 exons. The record is from RefSeq and is a predicted model, not a curated record. Lineage: Eukaryota; Metazoa; Chordata; Actinopteri; Cypriniformes; Cyprinidae.